GACGAACGCUGGCGGCGUGCCUAACACAUGCAAGUUGAGCGACGAACCAGGGCUUGCCCUGGGGCAAAGCAGCGAACGGGUGAGUAACACGUGGGUAACCUACCCCGAUAACCGGGACAACCCGAGGAAACUCGGGCUAAUACCGGAUGUGCUCACUGGACUUCGGUUCAGUGCGUAAAGGAAGCUUCGGCCUCCGUAUCGGGAGGGGCCCGCGGCCCAUUAGUUUGUUGGUGAGGUAACGGCUCACCAAGACCGCGAUGGGUAGCUGGUCUGAGAGGACGAUCAGCCACACUGGGACUGAGACACGGCCCAGACUCCUACGGGAGGCAGCAGUGGGGAAUCUUGCGCAAUGCGCGAAAGCGUGACGCAGCAACGCCGCGUGGGGGAAGAAGGCCUUCGGGUUGUAAACCCCUUUCAGGAGGGACGAAGGUUCGGCGGUGAAUAGCCGUCCGGACUGACGGUACCUCCUCAAGAAGCCCCGGCUAACUACGUG
This 493-nucleotide ribosomal RNA is filed under the name uncultured bacterium. RNAcentral's name for it is "partial 16S ribosomal RNA". It matches the Rfam family "Bacterial small subunit ribosomal RNA", at positions 28 to 507 of the family's 1533-position model. The record is from RNAcentral.